GGCCUCGCAGAGCAGAUGGAGUGCUCACCGCCCCUCGAGGCGGAGAUCGCCGGUUCGAGCCCGGCCGGGGUCA
RNAcentral lists this transfer RNA (73 nucleotides) under Brachybacterium paraconglomeratum. RNAcentral describes it as "tRNA-OTHER". It matches the Rfam family "tRNA". From Rfam's summary of the family: Transfer RNA (tRNA) molecules are approximately 80 nucleotides in length. Their secondary structure includes four short double-helical elements and three loops (D, anti-codon, and T loops). Further hydrogen bonds mediate the characteristic L-shaped molecular structure. tRNAs have two regions of fundamental functional importance: the anti-codon, which is responsible for specific mRNA codon recognition, and the 3' end, to which the tRNAs corresponding amino acid is attached (by aminoacyl-tRNA synthetases). tRNAs cope with the degeneracy of the genetic code in two manners: having more than one tRNA (with a specific anti-codon) for a particular amino acid; and 'wobble' base-pairing, i.e. permitting non-standard base-pairing at the 3rd anti-codon position. The record is from RNAcentral. Lineage: Bacteria; Bacillati; Actinomycetota; Actinomycetes; Micrococcales; Dermabacteraceae.